AUUGCCCUAGUAACGGCGAGUGAAGCGGCAACAGCUCAAAUUUGAAAUCUGGCUCUUUUAGGGUCCGAGUUGUAAUUUGCAGAGGGCGCUUUGGCGUUGGCAGCGGUCCAAGUUCCUUGGAACAGGACGUCACAGAGGGUGAGAAUCCCGUACGUGGUCGCUGGCCUUCGCCGUGUAAAGCCCCUUCGACGAGUCGAGUUGUUUGGGAAUGCAGCUCUAAAUGGGAGGUAAAUUUCUUCUAAAGCUAAAUACUGGCCAGAGACCGAUAGCGCACAAGUAGAGUGAUCGAAAGAUGAAAAGCACUUUGGAAAGAGAGUCAAAUAGCACGUGAAAUUGUUGAAAGGGAAGCGCUUGCAGCCAGACUUGCCUGUAGUUGCUCAUCUGGGCUUUUGUCCAGUGCACUCUUCUACAGGCAGGCCAGCAUCAGUUUGGGCGGUUGGAUAAAGGUCUCUGUCACGUACCUCCCUUCGGGGAGGCCUUAUAGGGGAGACGACAUGCAACCAGCCUGGACUGAGGUCCGCGCAUCUGCUAGGAUGCUGGCGUAAUGGCUGUAAGCGGCCCGUCUUGAAACACGGACCAAGGAGUCUAACAUCUAUGCGAGUGUUUGGGUGUCAAGCCCGGACGCGUAAUGAAAGUGAACGGAGGUGGGACCCCUUUUAGGGUGCACCAUCGACCGAUCCUGAUGUCUUCGGAAGGAUUUGAGUAAGAGCAUGGCUGUUGGGACCCGAAAGAUGGUGAACUAUGCUUGAAUAGGGUGAAGCCAGAGGAAACUCUGGUGGAGGCUCGCAGCGGUUCUGACGUGCAAAUCGAUCGUCAAAUUUGGGCAUAGGG
RNAcentral lists this ribosomal RNA (831 nucleotides) under Plenodomus lingam (blackleg of rapeseed fungus). Its description in RNAcentral is "eukaryotic LSU rRNA". It matches the Rfam family "Eukaryotic large subunit ribosomal RNA", at positions 74 to 922 of the family's 3401-position model. Lineage: Eukaryota; Fungi; Ascomycota; Dothideomycetes; Pleosporales; Leptosphaeriaceae. The record is from RNAcentral.